Molecule: ribosomal RNA, 253 nt
Filed under: uncultured bacterium
Lineage: Bacteria
Description: partial 16S ribosomal RNA
Rfam family: Bacterial small subunit ribosomal RNA
Source: RNAcentral
UACAGAGGGUGCGAGCGUUGUCCGGAAUCACUGGGCGUAAAGGGCGCGUAGGCGGUCUCUUAAGCGUGUGGUGAAAGCCCGGGGCUCAACUCCGGGUCGGCCGUGCGAACUGGGAGACUGGAGCUUGUCAGAGGCAGGCGGAAUUCCGGGUGUAGCGGUGGAAUGCGUAGAGAUCCGGAAGAACACCCGUGGCGAAGGCGGCUCUCUGGGACGGUACUGACGCUGAGACGCGAAAGCGUGGGGAGCGAACAGG